This 490-nucleotide ribosomal RNA is filed under the name Staphylococcus epidermidis. Its description in RNAcentral is "bacterial SSU rRNA". It matches the Rfam family "Bacterial small subunit ribosomal RNA", at positions 40 to 516 of the family's 1533-position model. The record is from RNAcentral. Lineage: Bacteria; Bacillati; Bacillota; Bacilli; Caryophanales; Staphylococcaceae.
CGGGAUGCCUAUACAUGCAGUCGAGCGAACAGACGAGGAGCUUGCUCCUCUGACGUUAGCGGCGGACGGGUGAGUAACACGUGGAUAACCUACCUAUAAGACUGGGAUAACUUCGGGAAACCGGAGCUAAUACCGGAUAAUAUAUUGAACCGCAUGGUUCAAUAGUGAAAGACGGUUUUGCUGUCACUUAUAGAUGGAUCCGCGCCGCAUUAGCUAGUUGGUAAGGUAACGGCUUACCAAGGCAACGAUGCGUAGCCGACCUGAGAGGGUGAUCGGCCACACUGGAACUGAGACACGGUCCAGACUCCUACGGGAGGCAGCAGUAGGGAAUCUUCCGCAAUGGGCGAAAGCCUGACGGAGCAACGCCGCGUGAGUGAUGAAGGUCUUCGGAUCGUAAAACUCUGUUAUUAGGGAAGAACAAAUGUGUAAGUAACUAUGCACGUCUUGACGGUACCUAAUCAGAAAGCCACGGCUAACUACGUGCCACGCC